UGUAACUCUGUGGUGUCUGUUCACACUGCUAUGCUUUAUCUUGGCCAGGUCGCAGUUGCAAAUGAGAACUUGUUCUCAACUAGCCUACCUGGUUAAAUAAAGGUGAAAUAAAAAAAUAAAUAGUGAAAGUUCAACAUAUGCUGUUAUGCUGAAGGAGAUCCAGUCUGGUCUACAAUGUUCGUGAUAAUAGCAACCCAGUAAAAUUAUAUUUGAGUCAAAGUCUGUUAAACUAGUCGCUGAUUCUAGCCAUCCCUUCUGGUUGGUUCUAGUCAGGCAGCUUAGUCUCCCAUUCAGAUGACCCCCACUUUUGUUAGUGUCUUAUUGGUCAAGGUCACACCAAAUACUUAUCACCACAUCUCCUUCAGCCUGUCAGUGGACUUGAUUCCCAGGACUUCAGUUAGUAUAUGACCCCAGCAUGCCUUGUGGUCAGAAACAUGCUUUCCCCAUCCUGAUGAGCACUUCCACAGUUAGCCCUUCUGUUGAACUUUUCCUCCUUGGAUUGAAUCCCUGCAUGUCUGAUUUUUAUUGUGAAUGCAUCUUAACUUAAUGUCUGUUCUCACUGGACGUGAUUCUCAGUUAUCUAAACCAUGAGUGGUCAGGUGUGUCUUCCAUUAAACUCCCCUUAACCUGGACACCCGCCGCAUCCUUGUUCUGACCGGACAUUCUGUAGUGGUUGCUACCGGGCUUAAGCCAGCACUUAAGAUUUCUUAUUACAUUCGUGGUUCUUUGAUUCUAUACAACCCUACCACUAUUUUUUAAGUAUAAAAGUAUUUGGUUUAAUAUACACUUAAGGAUCUAAAGUAAAAGUAUAAAUCAUUUCAAAUUCUAUAUUUAUUUAUGUAUAGCCAGGGGCACACUCCAACAUUCAGACAAUUUACAAAUGAAGCAUGUGUGUUUAGUGAGUCCGCCAGAUCAGAGGCAGUAGGGACGGUCUGUUUGGUGUGAGAAUUGGACCAUUUUCCUGUCCUGCUAAGCAUUCAAAAUGUUAUAUGAGUACUUUUGGUUGUCAAGGAAAAUGUGUGGAGAAAGUAUGAUAUUUUCUUAAAAGGAAUGUAGUGAAGUAAAACGAAUGAAAUAUAUGAAUAUUAAAGUUCAGAUACCCCCAAAAACUACUUAAUUAAAAAUACAUUAAAUUAUUACCAAGUACUUUACACCACUGCCGGAAGGUUGAACGUAUGUUAGGAUCGUAAGAAAAUCCAUAUGUAAAUUGUUAGGAUUGUAAGAAUAGCCAUGCGUAAAACAUUAAAUGUAACAGUUAAAAUAGAUCUGUAAAUGUACAAACCUUCUGACUUAGAAUAUGUGGACAACUACAAAUACCUAGGUGUCUGGUUAGACUGUAAACUCUCCUUCCAGACCCACAUCAAACAUCUCCAAUCCAAAGUUAAAUCUAGAAUUGGCUUCCUAUUUCGCAACAAAACAUCCUUCACUCAUGCUGCCAAACAUACCCUUGUAAAACUGACCAUCCUACCAAUCCUCAACUUCGGCGAUGUCAUUUACAAAAUAGCCUCCAAUACCCUACUCAACAAAUUGGAUGCAGUCUAUCAGUGCCAUCGGUUUUGUCACCAAAGCCCCAUAUACUACCCAUCAUUGUGACCUGUACGCUCUCGUUGGAUGGCCCUCGCUUCAUACUCGUCGCCAAACCCACUGUCUCCAUGUCAUCUACAAGACCCUGCUAGGUAAAGUCCCCCCUUAUCUCAGCUCGCUGGUCAUCAUAGCAUCACCCACCUGUAGCACGCUCUCCAGCAGGUAUAUCUCUCUGGUCACCCCCAAAACCAAUUAUUUAUUUGGCCGCCUCCUUCCAGUUCUCUGCUGCCAAUGACUGGAACGAACUACAAAAAUCUCUGAAACUGGAAACACUUAUCUCCCUCACUAGCUUUAAGCACCAGCUGUCAGAGCAGCUCACAGAUUACUGCACCUGUACAUAGCCCACCUAUAAUUUAGCCCAAACAACUACCUCUUUCCCUACUGUAUUUAUUUAAUUUAUUUAUUUUGCUCCUUUGCACCCCAUUUUUAUUUUUACUUUGCACAUUCUUCCACUGCAAAUCUACCAUUCCAGUGUUUUACUUGCUAUAUUGUAUUUACUUUGCCACCAUGGCCUUUUUUUGCCUUUACCUCCCUUAUCUCACCUCAUUUGCUCACAUCGUAUUUAGACUUGUUUAUACUGUAUUAUUGACUGUAUGUUUGUUUUACUCCAUGUGUAACUCUGUCGUUGCAUGUGUCGAACUGCUUUGCUUUAUCUUGGCCAGGUCGCAAUUGUAAAUGAGAACUUGUUCUCAACUUGCCUACCUGGUUAAAUAAAGGUGAAAAAAAUAUAUAUAAAAAAAAAAUAAUAAUAAAAUAAAAUCUUUGUUUUCUUUAUACUGUAUAUUUUGGUUAGGUCAGGGUGUGGCGAGGGUGGUAUGUGUGUUUUUGUCUCAUCUAGGGUGUUUGUACUGGCUAGGGGUUUUGUAGAUUUAUGGGGUUGUUUCCAUCUAGGUGUUUAUGUAGGUCUAUGGUUGCCUAGAUUGGUUCUCAAUUAGAGGCAGGUGUUUAUCGUUGUCUCUGAUUGGGAAACAUAUUUAGGCAGCCAUCUUCUUUGGGUAUUUCGUGGGUUAUUGUCUAUGUCUAGUUGCACGUUAGCACAUUGUUUAUAUAGCGGUCACGGUCGUCUUAUCGUUUUUGGUUGUUUUUUGUUUGUGUUCUUCAUUAAAUAAAGAAUAAUGUAUUCUAA
Long non-coding RNA from Oncorhynchus tshawytscha (Chinook salmon), 2710 nucleotides. The record is from Ensembl. NCBI's taxonomy places the organism in Eukaryota, Metazoa, Chordata, Actinopteri, Salmoniformes, Salmonidae.